This 893-nucleotide ribosomal RNA is filed under the name uncultured Chloroflexota bacterium. RNAcentral describes it as "bacterial SSU rRNA". It matches the Rfam family "Bacterial small subunit ribosomal RNA", at positions 8 to 905 of the family's 1533-position model. Lineage: Bacteria; Bacillati; Chloroflexota. The record is from RNAcentral.
AGAGUUUGAUCCUGGCUCAGGAUGAACGCUGGCGGCGUGCCUAAUACAUGCAAGUCGAACGAGGCCCUUUGUAUUCGUAUGAAGGUGUCCUAGUGGCGAACGGGUGAGUAACACGUAGGUGACCUACCCCGAAGAGGGGGACAACCCCGGGAAACUGGGGCUAAUACCCCAUGACCUCCAGGGAGUUAGAGGACCCUGGAGAAAAGGAUGCUAUGCAUUCGCUUUGGGAGGGGCCUGCGGCCCAUCAGCUAGUUGGUAGGGUAAUGGCCUACCAAGGCUACGACGGGUAGGGGGCCUGAGAGGGUGGUCCCCCACACUGGCACUGAAACACGGGCCAGACACCUACGGGUGGCAGCAGUAGGGAAUAUUGCCCAAUGGACGAAAGUCUGAGGCAGCAACGCCGCGUGCGCGAUGAAGGCCUUCGGGUUGUAAAGCGCUUUUCUGGGGGAAGAGGAAGGACGGUACCCCAGGAAUAAGUCUCGGCUAACUACGUGCCAGCAGCCGCGGUAAAACGUAGGAGGCAAGCGUUAUCCGGAUUUACUGGGCGUAAAGCGCGUGUAGGCGGUUUGGCAAGUUGGACGUGAAAGCUCCCGGCUCAACUGGGAGAGGCCGUUCGAAACUACCAGACUAGAGGGCAGUAGAGGGAGGUGGAAUUCUGGGUGUAGCGGUGAAAUGCGUAGAUAUCCAGAGGAACACCAGUGGCGAAGGCGGCCUCCUGGGCUGUCCCUGACGCUCAGACGCGAAAGCUAGGGUAGCAAACGGGAUUAGAAACCCCGGUAGUCCUAGCCGUAAACGAUGCAGACUUGGUGUUGGUGGUUUAAACGCCAUCAGUGCCGUAGCUAACGCGGUAAGUCUGCCGCCUGGGGACUACGGUCGCAAGGCUAAAACUCAAA